AUGUCGAGGACGGACACGCCCGGAAGCCGAGGGGAAGACGGGCUUCGUGGACGACUUGGCCUCGCGACGCAGGCCAGCGCCUGCCUGACCACCCCAGCCGGGACGUCGCGGAAGGUGAGCCCGGGGAGGCGCGCCCAGAGGCCGCGCCACCGGCGCGCGAGGACGCUGGUGCGCGCGGCGGCGCGGGCGCAGCCCAGCCGCCCGAGGAUCUGGAGGAGCAUGUCCUCCGGGAGCGCGCUGAUGCGGUCGCCUCCGUCCGGGCCACCACCGGAGCCUGCUCCAUCCGGCGGCGGCGCCGAGCGCCUGAUGCGGCGCGCCGAUGGGAACUCCAUUCGCGAGGGAAAAAUGAAACGAAACCCUAAGCACGCGACCCCGCGUCAAUAA
RNAcentral lists this ribosomal RNA (384 nucleotides) under Triticum aestivum (bread wheat). RNAcentral's name for it is "partial small subunit ribosomal RNA". Lineage: Eukaryota; Viridiplantae; Streptophyta; Magnoliopsida; Poales; Poaceae. The record is from RNAcentral.